Oryctolagus cuniculus (rabbit) is the source of this 2416-nucleotide non-coding RNA. NCBI's taxonomy places the organism in Eukaryota, Metazoa, Chordata, Mammalia, Lagomorpha, Leporidae. The record is from RefSeq and is a predicted model, not a curated record.
CUGGCGUCUUGUUCGGAGGGAUUCCAGAACGGGUCAGGUGAAGUCCAGGUUCCUUCUUUCCUGGGAGAAAUCCUGGGCGGCAGCUAAUGGUGCUCUCAGAGUUGCCCUGCUUCCAGGUUCUGUAAAGGGCGCUUGCGUACUUAACCUCUACAGCGAAUUUAACCUGCGGGGAGCAGACUGUCAAGUUACAGAGAGUCUGAACCACUGGCUAAUUACGGCAGAGCUGGGAUGCAAGCCUGGGGCGUCUGGCUCAGGCCCUGACUCACAUGUACGAGGUUUCUGAAACCAGACAGGAAUCAGGGCGCAUCUCGCUUCCCCUGCACUGCUGUGGGGCCCGGGGAGCUCACCCACCUCGUCGGCGUGCUGCCUUUCUUCUCUUCCCCCCUGUAGGAUUGAGUGAGAGCUCCGCUGAUGGCUGGUCGAAGCUCCUGGCUCAUAGUGCGCGCUCAGUGCAUGAGGGCCACUCGAGCCUUGGCCUUGUCUCCCAACAGGUCACUCAAGGUCCAGCUGCACAGAACAGAAUCCACUCACAGUACAAGCAGGGUUUUGUUUAUUUUGUGCCCGAGGUGUUAAAUGGCUUACACCACUGUUAGAAGGCUGAAGAAGCAGACAGAGGAGUUUACCAUUCAAGAAGAAAUCCCUAAACUGUAGCGCCAAGCUGACUACCACGGAAGCUCUGAGUUCUCCUGUGAAAAGGAAACCGCUGAUUCCUGCAAUCCAGAAACCGUCCAAGCAGGAGAGACCACCGACUGCUGCUCCCAGCACUGGGAAAGCCCACAUCUGCUGUGUCUCACCAGCGAAAAGAUGCCCUACUUCCUGAAACUCAAGAAACCAGGGAUACCAUCUCUGCUCCAGACUGACUAAAUGGCUCCCAGGUGAGAAGCCACAGUUCUGCGCUGGUACAGCUGUCAGCCAAGCUCAGGUGCACACGGAGACGUGGUCAGUGUCUUCGAUUCGCACUAGAUGCGAGCCCUCAGAGAAACGUGACGAGGUCAACGGACGUCAGAUGGAGGAGUCCUUGACUGCGAGUCCUCGCAAGACUGCAAAUGCAAACACUGACUGAAACCUGCCGAAGCCACCCUCCCCUCGCAGCAGCCGCCGGUGGAGGAGACCGCUACCAAAAACUGUUGUACAGGGAUUCCUGAGGACUCGAAUGCUUCAGAGAGGUGCUAGUGAGCCUGGUGGAUUCCGAACAACACAUGAUGCUAACAGCAAGCAAAUGGAAGACAAAAACCACACUGGGUCCGUGUGGGACGGGCCUGUGGCUUGACACUGACUGUGAGUUGACCUUGGGUUCCAGCACCGACAGGUCAUUGUCCUGCAGCGGGUGGAGGCUACUUCAGAAGGGACGGUGUUGCUUCCCCAAGUGCAUCUUUGCACUCCACGUGGCCCGCGUUGUUAGGAAGACUAGAAGCGGAUGAAAACCUUACCCCAGAGCGUGAUCAUCCUCAUCAGAGAGGAAGAGCGCCCACUCGGGCACCUGGUCUUUGAGUGCAGGGCUGCAGUCUUUGGUAUGAGGAGUUCUGGGGAGCAGCCCCCCUGGACUUGCCAGAAGCCAUGGAAAAGGGGGUAGCCGGCGAGAGGUCCUCCACCCUCCAGGGAGCAGCCCUCCAUCGGGGCAUCUGAUGUAGGUUUUGAUGGAGCCAGUUUCCAUAGAUACUGAACAAGUAAGUGAUCACCAAUCCCAAACACAAAUCCUCACCAACAGAACAAAAGAAGCAAAACUAUAGAAAGGAAAAUCUUACUGUUUAAUGACUUAUUCUCACUUUUUUUUUCUCUCUCUCUAACUUAUCUCAGGAUUAAUGACACCAAUGCCUUUUUUUUUAAGAUUUAUUUAUUUAUUUGAAAGUAAGAGUUACACAGAGAGAAGGAGAGGCAGAGGCAUAGAGAGAGAGGUCUCCCAUCCACUGGUUCACUCCCCAAUUGGCUGCAACAGCCGGAGCUGCACCAAUCCGAAGCCAGGAACCAGGAGCUCCUCCCGGGUCUCCCAUGUGGGUGCAGGAGCCCAAGGACUUGGGCCGUCUUCUACUGCUUUCCCAGGUCACAGCAGAGAGCUGGAUUGGAAGUGGAGCAGCCUGGAUUCGAACGGGUGCUCAUAUGGGAUGCCGGCACUUUACCGGCUACGCCACAGUGCCGGCCACGGUGCCUCUUAUGUUUAAAAUCAGCUAGGAAGCUCAUUAUCAGUAAGUGCUUGAGAAAUGAGAGGGGCCCAACCUCUCUCUCCCCAAGAUACUCAUCAUUUAGUAAGGAAUUCGGCAUCUUGAAGGAACCAGAACUUAAUCAGGAGGCAGUGGGAGCCACGGGCGGUUCUCGGUCAGGGGCGUGGCACAGUCAGAGCUGCAUUCGGAGACGGCAGCGUGGGAAACCUGGGCUGGGCAGUGAGAGCAUGGGGAGUGUGUGGCAGCCUUUUAGGGCC